UUCUUUAAAUAAGGACUAGUAUGAACGGCACCAGAGGGCUUAACUGUCUCCCACAUCUAAUCAAUGAAACUGAUCUUCUCGUGAAGAAGCGAGAAUAAAAAUAUAAGACGAGAAGACCCCAUGGAGCUUUAAACUUAUUAACAAUUACUUUUAGCUAAACCAACAUAUAUAGUAAAAAUGUUCCACAAUAGUUUUCGGCUGGGGUGACCCUGGAGUAAAAUAAAUCCUCCAGGAUGAAUGAAUUAAUAAUUCUAAUCAACGAGUUACGACUCUAAGAAUCAAAAUAUUGACAUUAAUGAUCCAACCACUUGAUCAACGAACCAAGUUACCCUGGGGAUAACAGCGCAAUCCAUUUCAAGAGCCCUUAUCGACAAAUGGGUUUACGACCUCGAUGUUGGAUCGGGGUGUCCAAGUGGCGCAGCCGCUACUAAUGGUUCGUUUGUUCAACGAUUAAUAACCCCACGUGAUCUGAGUUCAAGACCGGA
Molecule: ribosomal RNA, 485 nt
Filed under: Afrixalus enseticola
Lineage: Eukaryota; Metazoa; Chordata; Amphibia; Anura; Hyperoliidae
Description: partial large subunit ribosomal RNA
Rfam family: Bacterial large subunit ribosomal RNA
Source: RNAcentral